CUAAGUAACCGCAGGAAAAGAAAUCAACCGAGAUUCCCAAAGUAGUGGCGAGCGAAAUGGGAUGAGCCUUGCACUCUUUAUUUGUAUUGUUAGCCGAACGCUCUGGAAAGUGCGGCCAUAGCAGGUGAUAGCCCUGUAGGCGAAAACAGUAUGAAAGAACUAGGUGUGCGACAAGUAGGGCGGGACACGUGAAAUCCUGUCUGAAGAUGGGGGGACCAUCCUCCAAGGCUAAAUACUCGUGAUCGACCGAUAGUGAACCAGUACCGUGAGGGAAAGGCGAAAAGAACCCCGGGAGGGGAGUGAAAUAGAUCCUGAAACCGCAUGCAUACAAACAGUCGGAGCCUCGUAAGGGGUGACGGCGUACCUUUUGUAUAAUGGGUCAGCGACUUACGUUCAGUAGCAAGCUUAACCGUAUAGGGCAGGCGUAGCGAAAGCGAGUCCGAAUAGGGCGUUCAGUUGCUGGGCGUAGACCCGAAACCAGGUGAUCUAUCCAUGGCCAGGAUGAAGGUGCGGUAACACGUACUGGAGGUCCGAACCCACUAACGUUGAAAAGUUAGGGGAUGAGCUGUGGAUAGGGGUGAAAGGCUAAACAAACCUGGAAAUAGCUGGUUCUCUCCGAAAACUAUUUAGGUAGUGCCUCGUGUCUCACCUUCGGGGGUAGAGCACUGUCAUGGUUGGGGGGUCUAUUGCAGAUUACCCCGCCAUAGCAAACUCCGAAUACCGAAGAGUGCAAUCACGGGAGACAGACAUCGGGUGCUAA
RNAcentral lists this ribosomal RNA (760 nucleotides) under Burkholderia cenocepacia. Its description in RNAcentral is "partial 23S ribosomal RNA". It matches the Rfam family "Bacterial large subunit ribosomal RNA", at positions 202 to 1001 of the family's 2925-position model. Lineage: Bacteria; Pseudomonadati; Pseudomonadota; Betaproteobacteria; Burkholderiales; Burkholderiaceae. The record is from RNAcentral.